AGGGGAAUAGCUGGGUCAAAUGGUGGUUCCAUUCCCAGCUUUCCAAGGAAUCUCCAUACUCAUACUGCUUUCCAAAUUGGCUGCACCAAUUUGCAGUCCCACCAGCAAU
Molecule: microRNA precursor, 109 nt
Filed under: Marmota monax (woodchuck)
Lineage: Eukaryota; Metazoa; Chordata; Mammalia; Rodentia; Sciuridae
Source: RNAcentral